Drosophila novamexicana is the source of this 428-nucleotide long non-coding RNA. RefSeq lists it as uncharacterized. The transcript has 2 exons. The record is from RefSeq and is a predicted model, not a curated record. NCBI's taxonomy places the organism in Eukaryota, Metazoa, Arthropoda, Insecta, Diptera, Drosophilidae.
UAUUUCACAAAAGGGGGCCUUCUGAGCGCAACAAAGAACUAAGUCGCAACAAGUUUUGCAAUUCUAUAACAUUUUUGUAUAACUUUUUGUUAUGGCAUCAUUCGAGCAGGACAAAAAAAUGGAGGAACUCAAGCUUAUAUUGGAGAACCGCAAGCUCAGAUUGGAGGAAGACAAGUUUGAAUUUGAGAAAGAAAAAUUUAAGAAAGAAGAAAGAUUGGAAGAAAGAAGGUUGAAUCUUGAGCGAUACAAGAUACUUUUCGAAAAAUGUCAAUUCGAAAUAAAGAACAAUAAAGUGUUAUUUGACCUCAGGCAUUUUGAGGAUCAGUUAUAAUGGACAUAAGACUGGAUUCAAACUCUGUAUCUCCAUCAUAGAUUGCUCUCAAAUGUGUCUCUUGAUCUUCUAAUAAAAUGUGAAGUGGUCAAAUCGA